GACGAACGCUGGCGGCGUGCUUAACACAUGCAAGUCGAACGGAAAGGCCCUGCUUUUGUGGGGUGCUCGAGUGGCGAACGGGUGAGUAACACGUGAGUAACCUGCCCUUGACUUUGGGAUAACUUCAGGAAACUGGGGCUAAUACCGGAUAGGAGCUCCUGCUGCAUGGUGGGGGUUGGAAAGUUUCGGCGGUUGGGGAUGGACUCGCGGCUUAUCAGCUUGUUGGUGGGGUAGUGGCUUACCAAGGCUUUGACGGGUAGCCGGCCUGAGAGGGUGACCGGCCACAUUGGGACUGGGAUACGGCCCAGACCCCUACGGGAGGCAGCAGGGGGGAAUUUUGCAAAAUGGGCGGAAGCCUGAUGCAGAAACGCCGGGGGGGGGAUGACGGCCUUCGGGUUGUAAACCGCUUUCCCCUGGGACGAAGCGUGGGUGACGGGAAUGGGUAAAGAAGCACCGGCUAACUACGU
Molecule: ribosomal RNA, 467 nt
Filed under: uncultured bacterium
Lineage: Bacteria
Description: partial 16S ribosomal RNA
Rfam family: Bacterial small subunit ribosomal RNA
Source: RNAcentral